This is a long non-coding RNA of Propithecus coquereli (Coquerel's sifaka), 1371 nucleotides long. RefSeq lists it as uncharacterized. The transcript has 4 exons. Lineage: Eukaryota; Metazoa; Chordata; Mammalia; Primates; Indriidae. The record is from RefSeq and is a predicted model, not a curated record.
GGAACCUCCACGGUGUGUCUGUGACUCCCCAUUCUCUGGAGAUUUCUAGGAAGAAAGAAGUAUUUCGUGACACGAUCCACUCAGGAGAGUUGGAGCGAGGCUGGCUGAGGUUCUCAAGGAGCUGAGUUUUGAGUUCAGGUGCUCACUUGGCAGUGGAAUGAUGCCUCCUGACCUUUCAGACCUUUGAGACCUCUGGGCGGUCUUAGAAAUCACUUCGAGCCUCCAGUCCAGGAUACGACUGCCUAGGGGAAUUCCAGGGAAAGGUGGCAGAGGUACCAUGGACUGUGAAGUGAUGGAUACCACAACGAGCUCACUGCAAGAUCUCAAAGAUUCCAAGCCACUGGCUGUUCCCAGUCAAAUGCCACCCUUCUGGAGAGGCGGCAGGAAGCGAGCUGGCAGGAGGCCCUACCUUUUGGCCAGAGGACAGACCCCUUCUCAGAUGUCCCAGGGAGCCGCUGAAGGAUAGUGAGGAAGAUGCUGCUGAUCCACAGGAGACAAUCACAGUAGCUGAAAUUAAGAAAUACCUCAAGUGAGACUCAAGCCCAGCGUCCCUUCAGACGAAAGUUCUCUGACCUACAGUUCUGGACUGGACUGUUUUUCCUUUGCUAUUAUCUGUGUAACACACCGUUCUGAGCGCUUUUGACUAGUUGACUUUUUUUUUUUUCCUGCCUAUUCUUUUUCUUUUCUUGGCCCUGGGAAUUAUAAAAAAGAAAUUACUUUAAAAAGUAUAAUUCUAUGCUGAAAUUAGCCUUGUAUGUGAACAAAAGCUGUUCCUAGAGAUUUUCUGAAUUGCAAUCCCAGGUUACCUGGUAAAUGGGGCUGUGGUUUGAUUUGUAUAGUACUGAUCUGUAGAUUAAAAUACACUUCCUUUCCUUUAUUUUUUGUUUGGAUCCAGGUAAUGGCCCGAGUCACAUUUGCUUAGCUACCGAAGCGAUCUGAAUGUGGUAUCGCUUGGAGUUGAAAUAUAAUCAAACAUACAUUAUACCUGGGGCUCUUGCGCACUAUUUGAUAUAUGUGUUACACUGCAAAGAAACACAAACCUUGUAGGUUGAAAUUUAAUUCCUGUUUGAUCCUGCAGCUAGAAUGGUGAAGAAAUUGUAAAUAUCAAAAGUGCCUUCAAAUACCCUACAUGGAAGGUAGUCAACAGUAAGUGGAUAGUUUCAGAAUGCCAUUUUCUAAGACAAAGUGGGAAUUGGAGAUCAACUGACCUCAUCGGCAGUGUUGUGCAGGUCUGUCUGUCUGGAUCUGCCCAUUUUGGAGGAGUUAAAGAACAAGGCAUGCUUCUGUGAUGGGGUUUAUGGAAAUUGUGGUAUUUCUGUCUUCUGUAACUGUGCCUGCCUUGCAAUAAAACACCAUCAGUUGACUCAGCAA